Molecule: ribosomal RNA, 386 nt
Filed under: uncultured bacterium
Lineage: Bacteria
Description: bacterial SSU rRNA
Rfam family: Bacterial small subunit ribosomal RNA
Source: RNAcentral
AUUGAACGCUGGCGGCGUGCCUAACACAUGCAAGUCGAGCGGUAACAGGUGUAGCAAUACAUGCUGACGAGCGGCGAACGGGUGAGUAAUGCUUCGGAAUCUACCCAAUGGUGGGGAAUAACCAGCCGAAAGGUUGGCUAAUACCGCAUACGUCCCACGGGAGAAAGCAGGGGAUCGCAAGACCUUGCGCCAAUGGAUGAGCCUAAGUCGGAUUAGCUAGUUGGAGGGUAACGGCCUACCAAGGCGACGAUCCGUAGCUGGUCUGAGAGGACGACCAGCCACACUGGGACUGAGACACGGCCCAGACUCCUACGGGAGGCAGCAGUGGGAAUAUUGGACAAUGGGGGAAACCCUGAUCCAGCGACGCCGCGUGUGUGAAGAAGGCC